UUCUAGAAAUUAAAUUACAGGCUGCCUAGAGGGAUUUUGAAGUGCUAAGCACUCUUCUUUCAGACCAAAUAAAAAGCACAAUUACAGCUCUUACAGUAGUUGUAUAUCUGAUAUUAACAUGGAUUCAUGAAGUAGCUUGGCUAGGUUUGGUCAGAAGCUAUCUCAUAUGAACUGAACAGUUAAUGAAUGGAAAAUGCCAAGACAAAGGCCAGAAGACAGGGAAUAAAACUAAUGGACAAAAGCUGCCCUAAACGGGAGCAGAAAAACAUUUCCAGAAAAAGAAACACAUAUAAUCUUAGAGGAAAACAGAGUUGUACCACAGGAUAUAUCAGUGUCAUAACCUAAAGAAAAUGGUCACAAAACUUCCCAGAAAGAAUGUAUCUUUUGAAAGAAUAAUCAAAGCAAAGCAAGAUUCUGGGGAACAUCUACUUACUAGAAG
Coturnix japonica (Japanese quail) is the source of this 439-nucleotide non-coding RNA. Lineage: Eukaryota; Metazoa; Chordata; Aves; Galliformes; Phasianidae. The record is from RefSeq and is a predicted model, not a curated record.